CUGGGAAGGCAGGUGUUAAUAACGGAACCUCUUUCCCAUUUCCGUGUUUAAAGCUUCAGGAUGAUUGUAUGGUGACACAGGUGGAAACUAAGAACUCCUCUUCUUUGUGGGCAACAUAAAUUCAAGGAAAGAAGAGCAUGUCUUGCUGAGUACAAUACCACCUGUGUUCAGACUUCCCCCCCCCCACCCCCGAAACCUGCUACAAGUCUCCAGGUGGAGUUAAUUUUACACUUUCAGCUGUUUCGUGCAGCUGCCGUGGUUUGUAGAGCAGGAGAAGAACAGAAGAAGAGACAACCCCAGCCUGAGAAAAGAAGCCAGAGACAGUUUUUUCCCCUCUGCAGUCCCUCCCACUCUAGCCUGUUUGUAAAUGUUACACUUACAACCUGACUGAACACACGUUGUGACUGUGCAGUAGUUCACUUGCUAGAUUCAGCCCUGGUGUGUAGCUCCCCUCCACAAACUAACUCCAGAUCUACAAGACCACACACUGCCCUGGUUCCACACUCAGACUGAAAACAGUAGUUGGUCAAAGCAUCUAAAUGAUAAUAGAUAAUAAUAAUAAUUAAUAAUAAAUAAA
This is a long non-coding RNA of Mauremys mutica (yellowpond turtle), 577 nucleotides long. RefSeq lists it as uncharacterized. The transcript has 4 exons. Lineage: Eukaryota; Metazoa; Chordata; Testudines; Geoemydidae. The record is from RefSeq and is a predicted model, not a curated record.